Homo sapiens (human) is the source of this 3866-nucleotide long non-coding RNA. RefSeq lists it as uncharacterized. The transcript is spliced from 2 exons. The record is from RefSeq and is a predicted model, not a curated record. Lineage: Eukaryota; Metazoa; Chordata; Mammalia; Primates; Hominidae.
CAGGCUAGUCUCGAACUCCUGGCCUCAAGCAGUCCUCCUGCCUUGGCCUCGCAAAGUGCUGGGAUUACAGACAUGAGCCACCAUGCCCUGCCUAGAGCAUACGUUUUCUGAAACGAUACAGGAAGAUGAAGUUGUUGCCAUCCCAACCCCCCAACCCCUCAAGCAGGCAGCUAGUCACCUGUACAAAAUACAGGUAUAUAUAAUAUAUAAAAUGUAAAUAUAAAUGUAUAUAGUGUGUAAAAUGUAUGUAUAUAAUGUAUAAAAUACAGUCACCUGUAUAUUAGAGUCCCUUACAGCCCCACAUGGGGAUUCCCCAUUAUUGUGCUCUUUCUCCCAUCCUUUGUAUUCUGAAAAUUUUCGAAUCUGUAGAAGAAUUGAAAUAACAGUAAAAUGAACACCCAUUUCCCCUUUGUCUAAAGUUACCAAUUCAUAACGUUUUGCUACACUUACCUCACUUGUCCUUUUAAUGUCAUUCAUAAUUUCUUUCUGCAUCACAUUCUAGGGGGCAGAGAAGGGUCACUCAUUGCUUUUUGAUGUCCUGUCUCUUUAGCCUCCUUUAAUACAGAACAGUUCCUCUACCUAUUUUUCGGUCCUUUAUAGCCUACACAUUCUGAAGAGUCAAGGCCACUUGUGUACACAAUUUGGAUUUUUGAUUGUUUCCUCAUGAAUAGGUUCAAAUAUUUUGACAAGACCCCUCUAAAGGUGAUAUUGUGACUUUGUUGGAUUUUACAUAUCAACUGGUAACAAAUGUAGAUGCAGUUUUAGCAAUAAGAAAAAUUUGUUUUUUCUGUGUGAAAUUGUUGUAUUUAGAGAUCUGUGCUAAUAGUAGUACCCAGUUUAGUCUUGUGUUGUCUUUUUAAAAAUGCAGUGUUUCACAUUAAGCCUUCCCUUUUACUUUAUUGAGAGUCUAAGGAAAUGCAGGAUGUCAUUUGUGCUAUCCUGUAAUAAACUUUUUCCUUAAAGAUUAUUUGAAAUCAACCACACUGUCUCAAAAUGAGGAGUGCUAUUUCUCAAGAAUGCUCAAGGCUUUUGCUAUUCACAUGGGCUUGUUGCAGUUAUAGAUGUCGCCCUCAGAGACGGGGAAUGAGUUCCUAUUAAAGACCUGUGUUUGGCCGGGGCAGGUUUACGGUUGACUGCUUCCUCACACCAAAAUUCAGCCAUUUCUUUCCUUUGUGCUAAGAAAACAUUGAACUUUAUUUCCAGUAAAGGCUACUUUACUAAAAACGUAUCCUCCAAGUCAGUUUCUAGCCUUUUAGUUCUGUGAUUGCAUGUUACCUACAUUAUUUUAUUAGAGUCCGUUACAGACAGUUUCAUUAGUUUAACUUGAAUUAUUAUCUUCUACCUAAUUACAUGGCUUUUGUUUCUUUCAUUUUACCCCACUCCAGAUUUAAGGGCCAAGACAUGUAAAGUUAAUAUUGGUCAUUUUUCAAAGUAAGUUAAAAUGUCAAAAAGCAACAAGUUGUUAUUCUUACAGGGUACCAGGGAAACAACAGAGACAAAACCUCCAUCUUUUAUUCAUAAGUCCAGAGAGACUACGAGGGCGCAGGCAGGCCUGUGUGCCGGGCGUUUGUUCAGCUUUCAGGACUGGGCCUCCUCCCCUGCUGGCCAUGAAAUGUCAUGCCGAGAUGUAAUAGUGGGACAUUCAGCAUCCAGAGAAUGGUCCGCAGAGAUUCAACUUUGCUUUUCAUUUUCUUUUCUGGCACCAAGUCCACAGUCCCCUCUGUGGCCUGACAGUGAAAGGCCAGAAAGCAGCGAUUUAGAUGCUGGCAGGAAUGGUGUGCAGCCUCUGCCCAGCGGGCCGGAGCUCCUGGGCUGGAAUGCAUGCUGGACACAAAGAUGAGGAUUCCAUGGCACAAAGAGCCAGGAAGGGAUUAAGAUGAGAAUCCUUGUGACUCGGAGAGGCCUCUCUCUGCCAGAAACCGGAGCUGCAGAGUUCUUACCCUGCCCAUGCCCCCAGCAGUCGGGCUUGCCCUGCCUUCCAAGCACCCUGUCUCAGAUGGACGGCUGCCAUGUGCAACAAAGCAACUAAUGGGGGGUGGAAAGAGGCGAGACUAGACAGCACUUUGGAGAUAAUUAAAUUAAACUCAGAUUAGGCAAUUACCCCAAAGAUUCCCAAACCUGGCUGAACACCAGAAUCACCUGAGGAGCAUUCUUGGAGUGGGGGGAGAUUCCGGGCCUCACCCCAGACCUGCUUAAGUGGGAUUUCCAGGGGAAGGCCAGGAAUCUGAGUUUUUAAAAAAGCUGCCAGAUUAGUGAUUGCCAGGGUUUUGGAGGGAUGGAGGGAGGGCUUGACUACCAAGGGGCAGUACAAGGGAAUUUUUUGGGUUGAUGGGACUGUUCUGUAUACUGAUUAUAGCAGUGGAUACAUACAUAUAUAUGCAUAUAACUUGUGGACCCAUACACCAAAAACUGUCAAUUGUACUGUGUAAAUAAAAAUAAAUAUGCUGCCCAGGUGAAACUGAGUUAUCUAGGUGUCAGUUGAGAUGGCCUGUGGUGCCUGGUGACAGCUGGGAAGAGCUGCCCAGCUAUGAGAGAGUGUCACCUGUUAUUGCAGAGGCAGGCGUGGGCAGGUGCUGAACUCUUUAGCCCAGUGCUAUCCAACAGAACUUCCUGUGACAAAAAAUGUUCUUCCCAGCACCGUUCAAUUCAGUAACCAUCAACCACUUUUGGCUACUGAGUACCUGAAAUGUGGCUAGCACAACUAAGGAACUGAAUGUUUAAUUUUACUUAAACUUAAUUUAAAUUUAAAUCAUCACACAUGGCUAGAGGCUACCCUAUUGGACAGCUCACCCUCAAAGGUAGACAUGGUGAUAUCAUGGAGCUUUGGCUCUGUGCAGGAUGCACACCGUGGUACUUUAUACUCGAGGGACAAUAGUAAGUCAUCCCAAACAUUGGGUAAAAUGGAAACAUGGACAGGACUUACCAAUAUGGGUAAGUACAGAGAAGAAGGAACCUUGGGAUGAAGACUCACCUGAGAUCUGCCCAGGCAGAGGACAAUUCUGCCGAGUGAAGGAAUCGGCUUUUUUUUUUUUUUUUGAGAUGGAGUUUCGCUCUUGUCACCCAGGCUGGAAUGUAAUGGCGUGAUUUCAGCUCACUUCAACUUCCACCUCCUGGGUUCAAGCGAUUCUCCUGCCUCAGCCUCCCAUGUAGCUGGGAUGACAGACAAGUGCCACCACACCCAGCUAAUUUUUGUAUUUUUCACCAUGUUGGCCAGGCUGGUCUUGAACUCCUGACCUCAGAUGAUCGGCCCGCCUUGGCCUCCCAAAGUGCUAGGACUACAGGCGUGAGCCACCACGCCUGGCCAGGAAUCUGCUUUUUCUUCUCCAAAGAUAGCACCAUCUUUGGCCCACUUCCUUCCCCAACCUUCCAACCUUGUUCAUUUUAAAAGGUGCAGAGGUUAGUUGGGAUGCUCUUGAAUUAUGCUCCCAUUCUUCUGCAGUGAUAGGAUAUACAGGAAGCCAUCAGAGGGGCCAGGUGAGCUCAGUGCAGAGAGGUGGGGAUGUUCUGGGCUUCACUGGGCCCACCUGCCUCCCUAGACAGAGUGUGAUGAAGAAUCUGUGUGGGCAUAUUGUAUUCCUUUUUGGGGAAGGAGAGCAUAUAAAAAAGGCAAUUAGGCAUAAACUUCCUGCUUUAUGCUUUGAGCACAUGACCUUUACCUUGGCUUGUGUUCAGACGCUCCUAAACCCACCUCCUCGACCCCCAUUGAUUUAUGUUAUCUUAGUGUUACUUUUCCAAAUGUGUUAUAAAAGAAUGAGAUUCAGGGAGUGUGGACUUUUAUUAGUACAAACCAAAUGGUGGCAGAAAGAAUGUUCCAAUUUGUAAACAUAUGUGUUCUUAAAUAAAUUUGCUAAAUGGGUAACAAAAAA